RNAcentral lists this ribosomal RNA (893 nucleotides) under Colletotrichum acutatum. Its description in RNAcentral is "eukaryotic LSU rRNA". It matches the Rfam family "Eukaryotic large subunit ribosomal RNA", at positions 1 to 923 of the family's 3401-position model. The record is from RNAcentral. Lineage: Eukaryota; Fungi; Ascomycota; Sordariomycetes; Glomerellales; Glomerellaceae.
GUUGACCUCGGAUCAGGUAGGAAUACCCGCUGAACUUAAGCAUAUCAAUAAGCGGAGGAAAAGAAACCAACAGGGAUUGCCCCAGUAACGGCGAGUGAAGCGGCAACAGCUCAAAUUUGAAAUCUGGCCCCAGGCCCGAGUUGUAAUUUGCAGAGGAUGCUUUUGGCGCGGUGCCUUCCGAGUUCCCUGGAACGGGACGCCAUAGAGGGUGAGAGCCCCGUACGGUUGGACACCAAGCCUUUGUAAAGCUCCUUCGACGAGUCGAGUAGUUUGGGAAUGCUGCUCUAAAUGGGAGGUACAUUUCUUCUAAAGCUAAAUAUUGGCCAGAGACCGAUAGCGCACAAGUAGAGUGAUCGAAAGAUGAAAAGCACUUUGAAAAGAGGGUUAAACAGCACGUGAAAUUGUUAAAAGGGAAGCGCUUGUGACCAGACUUGCGUCCGGUGAAUCACCCAGCUCUCGCGGCUGGGGCACUUCGCCGGCACAGGCCAGCAUCAGCUUGCCGUCGGGGACAAAAGCUUCAGGAACGUAGCUCCUCUCGGGGAGUGUUAUAGCCUGUUGUAUAAUACCCUUCGGCGGGCUGAGGUACGCGCUCCGCAAGGAUGCUGGCGUAAUGGUCAUCAGCGACCCGUCUUGAAACACGGACCAAGGAGUCAACCUUAUGUGCGAGUGUUUGGGUGUUAAACCCCUACGCGUAAUGAAAGUGAACGCAGGUGAGAGCUUCGGCGCAUCAUCGACCGAUCCUGAUGUUCUCGGAUGGAUUUGAGUAAGAGCAUAUAGGGUUGGACCCGAAAGAAGGUGAACUAUGCGUGUGUAGGGUGAAGCCAGAGGAAACUCUGGUGGAGGCUCGCAGCGGUUCUGACGUGCAAAUCGAUCGUCAAACAUGCGCAUGGGGG